RNAcentral lists this small RNA (36 nucleotides) under Bombyx mori (domestic silkworm). RNAcentral describes it as "ovarian small RNA-11376". The record is from RNAcentral. Lineage: Eukaryota; Metazoa; Arthropoda; Insecta; Lepidoptera; Bombycidae.
ACCUGAAAUGGGUUUGGAACAUGUUAUGAAAUGUGC